This 1316-nucleotide ribosomal RNA is filed under the name Bacillus sp. SGE71(2010). RNAcentral's name for it is "bacterial SSU rRNA". It matches the Rfam family "Bacterial small subunit ribosomal RNA", at positions 56 to 1356 of the family's 1533-position model. Lineage: Bacteria; Bacillati; Bacillota; Bacilli; Caryophanales; Bacillaceae. The record is from RNAcentral.
UGCAGUCUUGCGGACAGAUGGGAGCUUGCUCCCUGAUGUUAGCGGCGGACGGGUGAGUAACACGUGGGUAACCUGCCUGUAAGACUGGGAUAACUCCGGGAAACCGGGGCUAAUACCGGAUGGUUGUUUGAACCGCAUGGUUCAGACAUAAAAGGUGGCUUCGGCUACCACUUACAGAUGGACCCGCGGCGCAUUAGCUAGUUGGUGAGGUAACGGCUCACCAAGGCAACGAUGCGUAGCCGACCUGAGAGGGUGAUCGGCCACACUGGGACUGAGACACGGCCCAGACUCCUACGGGAGGCAGCAGUAGGGAAUCUUCCGCAAUGGACGAAAGUCUGACGGAGCAACGCCGCGUGAGUGAUGAAGGUUUUCGGAUCGUAAAGCUCUGUUGUUAGGGAAGAACAAGUGCCGUUCAAAUAGGGCGGCACCUUGACGGUACCUAACCAGAAAGCCACGGCUAACUACGUGCCAGCAGCCGCGGUAAUACGUAGGUGGCAAGCGUUGUCCGGAAUUAUUGGGCGUAAAGGGCUCGCAGGCGGUUUCUUAAGUCUGAUGUGAAAGCCCCCGGCUCAACCGGGGAGGGUCAUUGGAAACUGGGGAACUUGAGUGCAGAAGAGGAGAGUGGAAUUCCACGUGUAGCGGUGAAAUGCGUAGAGAUGUGGAGGAACACCAGUGGCGAAGGCGACUCUCUGGUCUGUAACUGACGCUGAGGAGCGAAAGCGUGGGGAGCGAACAGGAUUAGAUACCCUGGUAGUCCACGCCGUAAACGAUGAGUGCUAAGUGUUAGGGGGUUUCCGCCCCUUAGUGCUGCAGCUAACGCAUUAAGCACUCCGCCUGGGGAGUACGGUCGCAAGACUGAAACUCAAAGGAAUUGACGGGGGCCCGCACAAGCGGUGGAGCAUGUGGUUUAAUUCGAAGCAACGCGAAGAACCUUACCAGGUCUUGACAUCCUCUGACAAUCCUAGAGAUAGGACGUCCCCUUCGGGGGCAGAGUGACAGGUGGUGCAUGGUUGUCGUCAGCUCGUGUCGUGAGAUGUUGGGUUAAGUCCCGCAACGAGCGCAACCCUUGAUCUUAGUUGCCAGCAUUCAGUUGGGCACUCUAAGGUGACUGCCGGUGACAAACCGGAGGAAGGUGGGGAUGACGUCAAAUCAUCAUGCCCCUUAUGACCUGGGCUACACACGUGCUACAAUGGACAGAACAAAGGGCAGCGAAACCGCGAGGUUAAGCCAAUCCCACAAAUCUGUUCUCAGUUCGGAUCGCAGUCUGCAACUCGACUGCGUGAAGCUGGAAUCGCUAGUAAUCGCGGAUCAGCAUG